UACAGUCCCCGCUGCACCAAAAACCCACUCCAUGCACCUCAUGGCCCCUCUUCGCCCUAUAAGACCCAGUUGAGGUACCACCGCCUCCAGGAAGUCCUCUGGGCCUCUGGCUGGGCCAGGCACCUCCCUUGAGUUCCCAAAGCGCCCUGGGGCCCUGUCCACACUGUCAGUCACUGUUUCCUUCUCCCAAGACAGUGGAUGGUGAGUCCUCAGGCAGGGAUGCGCCUGGGUCACGCAUGACCCCAGUAUGGCCACUUGGGAAAUCGUUUUCAGGCUUGGUAAGUCCAAACUCUACAGGGCAGCUGGCAGACUGGAGACUGCAGAAGAGCAACAGGGAAGAGCUGCAGUUCAAGUCCAAGGCCAUCUGGAGGCAGAAUUCCUUCUUGCUCGGCAGAGAGAGGGGACACGGGUUCGAGCCCUGGUCCAGGAAGAUCCCAUGUGCCGCGGAGCAACGAAGCUCGUGCGCCACAACUACUGAGCCUGCGUGCCACAACUACUGAAGCCCAUGCACCUAGAGCCUGUGCUCCGCAACAAGAGAAGCCAACGCAACGAGAAGCCUGCACACGGCAACGAAAAGUAGCCCCUGCUCGCCGCAACUAGAGAAAGCCCGUGUGCAGCAGCGAAGACCCAACACGGCCAAAAAUAAAUAAAUUAAAAAAAAAAAAAAAAAAGGUUCACUGGGGUCAUGUCAAGAGGACACAAGAGCUAAAUUAAAGGGCCUCCCAUUGGCCAAAGGUCUGGCAGUUUGAGCACUAAAAGAAGUAAAUUGACUGUGCUUGAUUGAAACACGUUGAAUCUAUGAAAUACCAUGACUCCAUAGUGACACAUAAGAUAAAAAGUUACCAUAGGACUUCCCUGGUGGCACAGUGGUUAAGAAUCUGCCUGCCAAUGCAGGGGACACGGGUUCGAUCCCUGGUCUGGGAAGAUCCCACAUGCCGCGGAGCAACUAAGCCUGUACGCCACAACUACUGAGCCCGCGUGCCACAACUACUGAAGCCCGCGCGCCCUAGAGGCUGUGCUCCGCAACAAGAGAAGCCACUGCAAUGAGAAGCCCAUGCACCGCAACGAAGAGCAGCCCCCACUCGCCGUAACUAGAGAAAGCCUGCGCACAGCAACGAAGACCCAAUGCAGCCAUAACUAAAUAAAUAAAAUUUUAAAAAAAUUAAAAAAAAAAGUUACCAUAAUAUUCCCAGAAGGUGACCCUAAUAGAAUGUACUUGUGACUCUUAUCAUUCAUUUAAUUAUUAUAUUGAUAAGGAAUACAUUUGUUUGAAGACAUUUUCCAACUCAAGGCAAAGGCUCAAUGGAAUAAUCCAAUAUUUCGUAAUUUCCAUUCAUUGUAAAUUGGGAUUUGUUUCCUAAUCAUCUCUGGGGAGGGGCAAAUGGGUGUGAGUAUAGACAAAAUAAAUGAUGAAAGAGCUAAUAAUUGUUGAAGCUGGGGGACUGGUACUGGAGAUUCAU
Molecule: long non-coding RNA, 1460 nt
Organism: Balaenoptera acutorostrata (minke whale)
Lineage: Eukaryota; Metazoa; Chordata; Mammalia; Artiodactyla; Balaenopteridae
Exons: 3
Source: RefSeq, a predicted model, not a curated record